RNAcentral lists this ribosomal RNA (473 nucleotides) under uncultured bacterium. Its description in RNAcentral is "partial 16S ribosomal RNA". It matches the Rfam family "Bacterial small subunit ribosomal RNA", at positions 28 to 507 of the family's 1533-position model. The record is from RNAcentral.
GAUGAACGCUAGCGGCAGGCCUAAUACAUGCAAGUCGAACGGGUGGUCGCAAGACCACUAGUGGCGCACGGGUGCGUAACGCGUAACCAACCUGCCCCGAUCUGGGGGAUAGCCCGCCGAAAGGCGGAUUAAUACCGCAUAUACCCGCAGCCUGGCAUCAGGCAACGGGGAAAGAUUGAUUGGAUCGGGAUGGGGUUGCGUGACAUUAGCUAGUUGGCGGGGUAAGGGCCCACCAAGGCGACGAUGUCUAGGGGAGCUGAGAGGGUGAUCCCCCACACUGGCACUGAGAUACGGGCCAGACUCCUACGGGAGGCAGCAGUAGGGAGUAUUGGGCAAUGGGCGAGAGCCUGACCCAGCCAUGCCGCGUGCCGGAUGAAGGCCUUCUGGGUUGUAAACGGCUUUUCUCAGGGAAGAAAAAGACCUUGCGAGGUACACUGACGGUACCUGAGGAAUAAGCACCGGCUAACUCCGUG